This 714-nucleotide ribosomal RNA is filed under the name uncultured Cytophagales bacterium. RNAcentral's name for it is "bacterial SSU rRNA". It matches the Rfam family "Bacterial small subunit ribosomal RNA", at positions 74 to 786 of the family's 1533-position model. Lineage: Bacteria; Pseudomonadati; Bacteroidota; Sphingobacteriia; Sphingobacteriales. The record is from RNAcentral.
GUCUCUUCGGAGAUACACGAGUGGCGCACGGGUGCGUAACGCGUAUGCAACCUACCUUUAACUGGGAAAUAGCCCCGAGAAAUCGGGAUUAAUGUCCCAUAUUAUUCUUUGAAUACCUAUUCGAGGAAUGAAAGCUCCGGCGGUUAUUGAUGGGCAUGCGUGACAUUAGCUAGUUGGUGAGGUAACGGCUCACCAAGGCUACGAUGUCUAGGGGUCCUGAGAGGGUUAACCCCCACACUGGUACUGAGACACGGACCAGACUCCUACGGGAGGCAGCAGUAAGGAAUAUUGGGCAAUGGACGCAAGUCUGACCCAGCCAUGCCGCGUGAAGGAUGAAUGUCCUAUGGAUUGUAAACUUCUUUUAUGCAGGAAAAAUAUCCCGGUCGUGAACCGGGACUGAUGGUACUGUAUGAAUAAGCAUCGGCUAACUCCGUGCCAGCAGCCGCGGUAAUACGGAGGAUGCGAGCGUUAUCCGGAUUCAUUGGGUUUAAAGGGUGCGCAGGCGGAAUAAUAAGUCAGUGGUGAAAUCUCCCGGCUCAACCGGGAAACUGCCAUUGAUACUGUUGUUCUUGAGUACAGUUGAAGUGGGCGGAAUGUGUCAUGUAGCGGUGAAAUGCUUAGAUAUGACACAGAACACCGAUAGCGAAGGCAGCUCACUAAGCUGUAACUGACGCUCAUGCACGAAAGCGUGGGGAUCAAACAGGAUUAGAUACC